GCGGCUGCAGCUCUAAGGCAGAGCGUCAGGAUGCCAGCCUGAAGGUCCCGGUUCGAUUCCGGGCUGCCGCA
Molecule: transfer RNA, 71 nt
Filed under: Myxococcales bacterium
Lineage: Bacteria; Pseudomonadati; Myxococcota; Myxococcia; Myxococcales
Also listed under: 1 other name
Description: tRNA-Gly
Rfam family: tRNA
About the family: Transfer RNA (tRNA) molecules are approximately 80 nucleotides in length. Their secondary structure includes four short double-helical elements and three loops (D, anti-codon, and T loops).
Source: RNAcentral